GGAGGUAGUGACAAUAAAUCUCAAUACGAAGCCUUUGGUUUUGUAAUUGAAUUGAGAACAAUGUACAAUCGUUAUCGAUAAACAAUUGGAGGGCAAGUCUGGUGCCAGCAGCCGCGGUAAUUCCAGCUCCAAUAGCGUAUAUUAACGUUGUUGCAGUUAAAAAGCUCGUAGUUGAAGUUUAGAUAAUUUAUUGAAAGUGUUUGUAUUCGUACAUUCUACUUUUAUGUAAGUUAUCGACAUCCAGGUGGGUGCCAUGGUUCCUUCGGGGGUUAGGGUACUAGACUGGUCAUUUACUGUGAGAAAAUUAGAGUGUUUAAAGCGGACUGUUCAGUUUGAAUAGAUUAGCAUGGAAUAAUAAAAUUGGUUUUCAUAGUCGAUUUUUUGGUUUGUUUAUGAAAGCAAGAUUAAUAGGGACAGUUGGGGGUAUUCAUAUUCAAUAGCUAGAGGUGAAAUUCUAUGAUUUAUGGAAGAUGAACAAGUGCGAAAGCA
RNAcentral lists this ribosomal RNA (489 nucleotides) under Blastocystis sp. RNAcentral's name for it is "SSU rRNA". It matches the Rfam family "Eukaryotic small subunit ribosomal RNA", at positions 460 to 953 of the family's 1831-position model. Lineage: Eukaryota; Bigyra; Opalinata; Blastocystidae. The record is from RNAcentral.